AACGCGAAGAACCUUACCCAGGCUCGAAAUGCAGGUGGCGAUACCAGAGAUGGUAUUUUCCGUAAGGACGCCUGUAUAGGUGCUGCAUGGCUGUCGUCAGCUCGUGCCGUGAGGUGUUGGGUUAAGUCCCGCAACGAGCGCAACCCUUAUCAUUAGUUGCCAACACGCAAGGUGGGGACUCUAAUGAGACUGCCUAGGUUAACUAGGAGGAAGGUGAGGAUGACGUCAAGUCCGCAUGGCCUUUAUGUCUGGGGCUACACACGUGCUACAAUGGUCGGUACAGAAGGCAGCAAGACCGUAAGGUGGAGCAAAUCCGUAAAAACCGAUCUCAGUUCAGAUUGUAGUCUGCAACUCGACUACAUGAAGCUGGAAUUGCUAGUAAUGACGUGUCAGCAACAACGUCGUGAAUACGUUCCCGGGCCUUGUA
RNAcentral lists this ribosomal RNA (427 nucleotides) under uncultured Chlamydiae bacterium. RNAcentral's name for it is "bacterial SSU rRNA". It matches the Rfam family "Bacterial small subunit ribosomal RNA", at positions 958 to 1385 of the family's 1533-position model. Lineage: Bacteria; Pseudomonadati; Chlamydiota; Chlamydiia. The record is from RNAcentral.